UACGGGGGGGGCAAGCGUUGUUCGGAAUUACUGGGCGUAAAGGGCUCGUAGGUGGCCAACUAAGUCAGACGUGAAAUCCCUCAGCUUAACUGGGGAACUGCGUCUGAUACUGGAUGGCUUGAGUUUGGGAGAGGGAUGCAGAAUUCCAGGUGUAGCGGUGAAAUGCGUAGAUAUCUGGAGGAAUACCGGUGGCGAAGGCGGCAUCCUGGACCGACAUUGACGCUGAGGAGCGAAAGCUAGGGGAGCAAACGGG
RNAcentral lists this ribosomal RNA (253 nucleotides) under uncultured bacterium. Its description in RNAcentral is "partial 16S ribosomal RNA". It matches the Rfam family "Bacterial small subunit ribosomal RNA", at positions 524 to 776 of the family's 1533-position model. The record is from RNAcentral.